AGUGAACGCUGGCGGUAGGCCUAACACAUGCAAGUCGAACGGCAGCACAGUAAGAGCUUGCUCUUACGGGUGGCGAGUGGCGGACGGGUGAGGAAUACAUCGGAAUCUACUUUUUCGUGGGGGAUAACGUAGGGAAACUUAUGCUAAUACCGCAUACGAUCUACGGGUGAAAGCAGGGGAUCUUCGGACCUUGCGCGAUUGAAUGAGCCGAUGUCGGAUUAGCUAGUUGGCGGGGUAAAGGCCCACCAAGGCGACGAUCCGUAGCUGGUCUGAGAGGAUGAUCAGCCACACUGGAACUGAGACACGGUCCAGACUCCUACGGGAGGCAGCAGUGGGGAAUAUUGGACAAUGGGCGCAAUCCUGAUCCACCCAUACCGCGUGGGUGAAGAAGGCCUUCGGGUUGUAAAGCCCUUUUGUUGGGAAAGAAAAGCAGCAGGUUAAUACCCCGCUGUUCUGACGGUACCCAAAGAAUAAGCACCGGCUAACUUCGUG
Molecule: ribosomal RNA, 492 nt
Filed under: uncultured bacterium
Lineage: Bacteria
Description: partial 16S ribosomal RNA
Rfam family: Bacterial small subunit ribosomal RNA
Source: RNAcentral